This 466-nucleotide ribosomal RNA is filed under the name uncultured bacterium. RNAcentral's name for it is "partial 16S ribosomal RNA". It matches the Rfam family "Bacterial small subunit ribosomal RNA", at positions 28 to 507 of the family's 1533-position model. The record is from RNAcentral.
GAUGAACGCUGGCGGCGUGCUUAACACAUGCAAGUCGAACGAUGAAGCCCAGCUUGCUGGGUGGAUUAGUGGCGAACGGGUGAGUAACACGUGAGUAACCUGCCCUUGACUCUGGGAUAAGCCUGGGAAACUGGGUCUAAUACUGGAUAUGACUUCUCAUCGCAUGGUGGGGGGUGGAAAGAUUUAUUGGUCUUGGAUGGACUCGCGGCCUAUCAGCUUGUUGGUGAGGUAAUGGCUCACCAAGGCGACGACGGGUAGCCGGCCUGAGAGGGUGACCGGCCACACUGGGACUGAGACACGGCCCAGACUCCUACGGGAGGCAGCAGUGGGGAAUAUUGCACAGUGGGCGCAAGCCUGAUGCAGCGACGCCGCGUGAGGGAUGACGGCCUUCGGGUUGUAAACCUCUUUCAGUAGGGAAGAAGCGAGAGUGACGGUACCUGCAGAAGAAGCGCCGGCUAACUACGUG